Mauremys mutica (yellowpond turtle) is the source of this 1267-nucleotide long non-coding RNA. RefSeq lists it as uncharacterized. The record is from RefSeq and is a predicted model, not a curated record. The transcript is spliced from 4 exons. Lineage: Eukaryota; Metazoa; Chordata; Testudines; Geoemydidae.
GCAGAAGGCAAAAGGCUGACAAUCAUGUACACAAAGCAGAGGUCAACAAAGAGGUUGAGUUCAAGCUGACUGAGGAACUUCUUUCUGAUCAAGCAAAUAGACAUGGCCUUCUAUCCAAGGGCCCCAACCAUUGUGGAAGGGUUGGAAAAAUUUUGGCCAAACAGGGCUGAAUAAGAUUGAUAGGUGACCUCUGGUGAGCUUUUAACAGUGAAGCUGCAAAUUAAAUUUUUCUCUUGGACCUGAAUGCUCUGCAGUAAUGAAAUCUAUGCCUUUCAACCUCUGGUGAUGACAGAGCCUGCAUAUAGUCUGUGAAACCCAGAGGAAGCUCAUUUGACUCAGGGCUGGUUUGCUUUCCAGGUUGCAGGUACUUAAGCACUGAAUGAUUGAAAUACUGAAUACCCAACACCAUUACUGAAUGCUGAUGCCUAGACUACAUGACGACGGUGUGCAGCUACAUAUAAAUAGAUUGCUUGUUUGCAGUGUUGGUGUAGCUGUGUUGGUCCCAGGAUAUUAGAAAGACAAGGUGGGUGAGGAAAUAUCUUUUAUUGGACCAACUUCUGUUGGUGAAAGAGUCAAGCUUUGGAGAUUCACAGAGUUCUUCUUCAUGGCCAGUGAAGGGCACUCAGGCCUGCUCUACACUACAGUGUUAUGUUGACACAAGGAAGCUCAUGUUGACUUAGUCGUGCAUAUGUCUACAUUUAAAUGUGUCUCCCACCUAUGUAAGCACCCUGUUAUGCCAACAUUGUAACACCACCUUUUCAAACUGCAGAAAGUCAUGGUUGAUGUACUUAGGUUGGAGCAGUGCGAGUGUAGACACUGCAUUACUUAUGUCAACCCUAACUGUCCCCCAGCAGCUGUCCCACAAUGCCCUGCACUGACCACUGUGAUCACCAUUGGGAAUUCCACUGACAUGGGUCAGAGAGAUCGGAGGUCUCCCACACUUACAGCCCUAUGAAUUUUUUAAAUUCCUUUUCCUGUAUGCCCGACUUAGCUAGCACACCUAGCAUCUCUCCAUUGUUGAGUGCAACUGGCCAGCUGACCAUGUCAGCCCCACACACCUGCCUGGAAUAGACAGAAGAUAUUGGAGCUCCUGGGCCUGUGGAGCAAAGAGGCUGUGCAGACACAGCUCCAAACUCGCCAUCAACAUCUACAAGCAGUUUGCACAGGGGAUGCAGGAGAGGUGGUACAAGAGGGACCAACAACAGUUCUGCGUGAAAGCCAAGUACCUGUGGCAGGCAUACCAGAAGGCCAGGGAGGCCAGCAAUCA